RNAcentral lists this ribosomal RNA (391 nucleotides) under uncultured bacterium. RNAcentral describes it as "partial 16S ribosomal RNA". It matches the Rfam family "Bacterial small subunit ribosomal RNA", at positions 523 to 917 of the family's 1533-position model. The record is from RNAcentral.
AUACGGAGGAUCCGAGCGUUAUCCGGAUUUAUUGGGUUUAAAGGGUGCGCAGGCGGCCACUUAAGUCAGCGGUUAAAUCGUGGGGCUCAACCCCAUUCUGCCGUUGAUACUGGGUGGCUUGAUUGCGGUCGAGGUUGGCGGAAUUCGUUGUGUAGCGGUGAAAUGCAUAGAUAUGACGAAGAACACCGAUUGCGUAGGCAGCUGACCAGACCGCAAAUGACGCUCAUGCACGAAAGUGCGGGGAUCGAACAGGAUUAGAUACCCUGGUAGUCCGCACAGUAAACGAUGAAUACUUGUUUUCGGCGAUAUAAUGUCGGAGGCAAAGCGAAAGCGAUAAGUAUUCCACCUGGGGAGUACGCCGGCAACGGUGAAACUCAAAGGAAUUGACGGG